RNAcentral lists this ribosomal RNA (443 nucleotides) under uncultured bacterium. RNAcentral describes it as "partial 16S ribosomal RNA". It matches the Rfam family "Bacterial small subunit ribosomal RNA", at positions 338 to 795 of the family's 1533-position model. The record is from RNAcentral.
CCUACGGGAGGCAGCAGUGGGGAAUAUUGGGCAAUGGGCGCAAGCCUGACCCAGCAACGCCGCGUGAAGGAAGAAGGCCCUCGGGUUGUAGACUACUUUUAUCAAGGACGAAACAAAUGACGGUACUUGAUGAAUAAGCCACGGCUAACUACGUGCCAGGCGCCGCCGUAAUACGUAGGUGGCAAGCGUUAUCCGGAUUUACUGGGUGCAAAGGGCGGGUAGGCGGGACUGCAAGUCAGAUGGGAAAACCAUGGGCUCAACCCCGGGCCUGCAUUUGAACCUGGUGGUCUUGAGUGUUGGAGAGGCAGGCGGAAUUCCGGGUGUAGCGGUGAAAUGCGUAGAUAUACGGAGGAAGACCAGUGGCGAAGGCGGCCUGCUGGACAAUAACGGACGCUGAGGCGCGAAAGCGUGGGGAGCAAACAGGAUUAGAUACCCCAGUAGUC